GUGCCAGCCGCCGCGGUAAUACGUAGGGUGCGAGCGUUGUCCGGAAUUACUGGGCGUAAAGAGCUCGUAGGUGGUUUGUCGCGUUGUUCGUGAAAUCUCACGGCUUAACUGUGAGCGUGCGGGCGAUACGGGCAGACUGGAGUACUGCAGGGGAGACUGGAAUUCCUGGUGUAGCGGUGGAAUGCGCAGAUAUCAGGAGGAACACCGGUGGCGAAGGCGGGUCUCUGGGCAGUAACUGACGCUGAGGAGCGAAAGCGUGGGGAGCGAACAGGAUUAGAUACCCUGGUAGUCCACGCCGUAAACGGUGGGUACUAGGUGUGGGUUUCCUUCCUUGGGAUCCGUGCCGUAGCUAACGCAUUAAGUACCCCGCCUGGGGAGUACGGCCGCAAGGCUAAAACUCAAAGGAAUUGACGG
Molecule: ribosomal RNA, 414 nt
Filed under: uncultured organism
Description: SSU rRNA
Rfam family: Bacterial small subunit ribosomal RNA
Source: RNAcentral